This 686-nucleotide ribosomal RNA is filed under the name Bacillus sp. M.D-1. Its description in RNAcentral is "bacterial SSU rRNA". It matches the Rfam family "Bacterial small subunit ribosomal RNA", at positions 96 to 765 of the family's 1533-position model. Lineage: Bacteria; Bacillati; Bacillota; Bacilli; Caryophanales; Bacillaceae. The record is from RNAcentral.
CGGCGGACGGGUGAGUAACACGUGGGUAAACCUGCCCAUAAGAACUGGGAUAACUCCGGGAAACCGGGGCUAAUACCGGAUAAUAUUUUGAACCGCAUGGUUCGAAAUUGAAAGGCGGCUUCGGCUGUCACUUAUGGAUGGACCCGCGUCGCAUUAGCUAGUUGGUGAGGUAACGGCUCACCAAGGCAACGAUGCGUAGCCGACCUGAGAGGGUGAUCGGCCACACUGGGACUGAGACACGGCCCAGACUCCUACGGGAGGCAGCAGUAGGGAAUCUUCCGCAAUGGACGAAAGUCUGACGGAGCAACGCCGCGUGAGUGAUGAAGGCUUUCGGGUCGUAAAACUCUGUUGUUAGGGAAGAACAAGUGCUAGUUGAAUAAGCUGGCACCUUGACGGUACCUAACCAGAAAGCCACGGCUAACUACGUGCCAGCAGCCGCGGUAAUACGUAGGUGGCAAGCGUUAUCCGGAAUUAUUGGGCGUAAAGCGCGCGCAGGUGGUUUCUUAAGUCUGAUGUGAAAGCCCACGGCUCAACCGUGGAGGGUCAUUGGAAACUGGGAGACUUGAGUGCAGAAGAGGAAAGUGGAAUUCCAUGUGUAGCGGUGAAAUGCGUAGAGAUAUGGAGGAACACCAGUGGCGAAGGCGACUUUCUGGUCUGUAACUGACACUGAGGCGCGAAAGCGUGGG